Molecule: ribosomal RNA, 253 nt
Filed under: uncultured prokaryote
Description: partial 16S ribosomal RNA
Rfam family: Bacterial small subunit ribosomal RNA
Source: RNAcentral
ACGUAGGGUGCAAGCGUUGUCCGGAAUUAUUGGGCGUAAAGAGCUCGUAGGCGGUUUGUCGCGUCUGCUGUGAAAACCUGGGGCUUAACCCUGGGCCUGCAUUGGAUACUGGCGGGCUAGAGUGCGGUAGAGGAUGGCGGAAUUCCCGGUGUAGCAGUGAAAUGCGUAGAGAUCGGGAGGAACAUCCGUGGCGAAGGCGGCCAUCUGGACCAGCACUGACACUGAGGCACGAAAGCGUGGGGAGCAAACAGGA